RNAcentral lists this long non-coding RNA (1071 nucleotides) under Coturnix japonica (Japanese quail). RNAcentral's name for it is "lncRNA (ENSCJPG00005015949.1)". The record is from RNAcentral. Lineage: Eukaryota; Metazoa; Chordata; Aves; Galliformes; Phasianidae.
CACUCAGUCAUGCCUCAGGGGAACGCAAGCCAUUUCCACCUACUCUUCAGAGAAGUUUCACACAAAGUAAAAUACAAAAUGAAGAAUGAAGAUGCUUGAGGUGUGAGUGGGAAGGGUCACUGUCACAAGUUUAGAUGUAUAACUUCUUGGUGCCUGGCUUUUCUGAGCUAACAGUGGUCUGCGUGUGCACUGCAUUUUGUAGGUAGCGACCUGACUUUAUGAAACAUCUCUAAUAAAAUCAGACUAUAAAGUUUAGCUUAAAGUACGGUUCUUUGGAAGUGCACACCUUCUCUCACUGUCUUUGAUGCCAAAGCAAAAGUUUUCACUCUUUUGCUUUCAUAAACUCUAUAUGUAACUUCCAGUGAAAGUACUACAAGACCGGUAGAGAAACUCCAGAUCACUGAAGUGAGCAUCCAGGAUCAAACCCUUUGGAAUUUUAACAGGCCUGAGCCUACAUGUGCACCUCAGAAACAGCUUCUGCUUUGUUGUGAGCUGUUUCCAUGAUAAAAAAAAAGAACCAGAGAGGAAAUCCAGAUCAUUCUGCUAUUCCUGGUUUGCGAUUCACUGCAGUUUUAAGAGACCAGUUUCCAAAGAUAGUGUCCUGACUCUCUGCUUAGGCCCACUAACUCUAAAAAUACACGAUGAAUUGAAAGGAACAUAGCAGAAGAAGAUAAUUGUUUACUUGUAAAACUAAUCUGGUUCUUGCCAUUUCUAUGUUAGGCAAACACACCAGCACAUCCAAAACUUGGACUUGCGGUAAUAACUACAGUAUGUUUCCUUCUUUUGCUUCUUGAAAGUCGACGUCAAACCAUUAGAAAAUAGAAAUGAAUUAGUUCCGUUUUUGCUGUAGCUGUGUAAAGACACGGAAAUCAUCUCACAAUCAGUAGUCUUAAAUGUGCAGCAUUUGAGUCAUUCUGAUGUGCUGUGUUUGAAUUUUUGGGAUGGUCCUUAAUUUAGUGACAGAACCAGUUCAGAUGGAGUGGUGGAGUGGUGGUAGAGGCUGCAUCCAGGUGUCUUUGGCCAAGUCCAUCUGCUCCAGUUCAGUUCUACUCAUGUUUUGUAAGCCACGUG